AGUUAAUGAUCUUGAUUAAAGUUUAUGUUU
Molecule: transfer RNA, 30 nt
Filed under: Formica exsecta
Lineage: Eukaryota; Metazoa; Arthropoda; Insecta; Hymenoptera; Formicidae
Description: partial tRNA-Ser
Source: RNAcentral